UCAGUUCAGAUCGUAGGCUGCAACUCGCCUACGUGAAGGAGGAAUCGCUAGUAAUCGCAGGUCAGCAUACUGCGGUGAAUACGUUCCCGGGCCUUGUACACACCGCCCGUCACACCAUGGAAGUUGGCCACGCCCGAAGUCGUUACUCCAACCCUUGUGGAGGAGGACGCCGAAGGUGGGGCUGAUGACUGGGGUGAAGUCGUAACAAGGUAGCCGUACCGGAAGGUGCGGCUGGAUCACCUCCUAACAGGGAGAAACAACUUCAGAUGAUGAUCACUUCUUUUUUACGUGAUCCAUUUGACUGUUCAACCCGAUGGUCGAUCGGUACCUCAGUCAUUCAAGCGAAGGUUUGAAUGAAUUCGGUUCUUAAGCUUGUCUAGGUCACCACACCAAAAGCUGAUAGGCUUUUGGGCGAUGGGCCCGAAAGGGUUCCUGGGCCAUUAGCUCAGGUGGUUAGAGCGCACCCCUGAUAAGGGUGAGGUCCCUGGUUCAAGUCCAGGAUGGCCCAUCGGGAUUGGGGGUUUAGCUCAGCUGGUAGAGCGCCUGCUUUGCAAGCAGGAUGUCAGCGGUUCGAGUCCGCUAACCUCCAUCAAUUCUGAUGAGGGAACACGACAGGGCGUUGGUGAUUUUAGGCACGAUUGUUGGUGAAUCCAGCCUCGUUUGAUUCUUGAGAGAGUUCAAACGAUGCUGGGCUCAGCAAUGGGUUCAGCGAGAACCUUGACAACUGCAUAGGAAAGUCU
RNAcentral lists this unclassified non-coding RNA (740 nucleotides) under uncultured Synechococcus sp. RNAcentral describes it as "partial contains 16S ribosomal RNA and 16S-23S ribosomal RNA intergenic spacer". The stretch from base 1 to 247 matches the Rfam family "Bacterial small subunit ribosomal RNA", at positions 1288 to 1533 of the family's 1533-position model. Lineage: Bacteria; Bacillati; Cyanobacteriota; Cyanophyceae; Synechococcales; Synechococcaceae. The record is from RNAcentral.